RNAcentral lists this unclassified non-coding RNA (378 nucleotides) under uncultured Gammaproteobacteria bacterium. RNAcentral describes it as "contains 16S-23S intergenic spacer region". The record is from RNAcentral. Lineage: Bacteria; Pseudomonadati; Pseudomonadota; Gammaproteobacteria.
UCCGGUUCUUCACCAGCAGUCUCCUUAGAGUCCCCAUCUUUACAUGUUGGCAACUAAGAACAAGGGUUGCGCUCGUUACGGGACUUAACCCAACAUCUCACAACACGAGCUGACGACAGCCAUGCAGCACCUGUCUCUCGGUUCCUUUCGGCACCCCACUGUCUCCAGCAGGUCCCAAGGAUGUCAAGGGUAGGUAAGGUUCUUCGCGUUGCAUCGAAUUAAACCACAUGCUCCACCGCUUGUGCGGGCCCCCGUCAAUUCCUUUGAGUUUUAACCUUGCGGCCGUACUCCCCAGGCGGAAGACUUAUCGCGUUAGCUUCGAUACUCAUAGGUCUCGCCUACCAACAUCUAGUCUUCAUCGUUUACAGCGUGGACUAC